This 484-nucleotide ribosomal RNA is filed under the name uncultured bacterium. RNAcentral's name for it is "partial 16S ribosomal RNA". It matches the Rfam family "Bacterial small subunit ribosomal RNA", at positions 30 to 507 of the family's 1533-position model. The record is from RNAcentral.
AUUGAACGCUGGCGGCAGGCCUAACACAUGCAAGUCGAGCGGAUGAAGGGAGCUUGCUCCUGGAUUCAGCGGCGGACGGGUGAGUAAUGCCUAGGAAUCUGCCUGGUAGUGGGGGAUAACGUCCUGAAACGGGCGCUAAUACCGCCUACUUCCUGCGGCAGCUGCAGGGUGGUCUUUGGACCUCUCCGUCUCUUAGGAGCGUAGGUCGGAUUAGCUAGUUGGUGGGGUAAAGGCCUCCCAAGCCGACGAUCCGUAACUGGUCUGAGAGGAUGAUCAGUCACAUGGGAACUGAGACACGGUCCAGACUCCUACGGGAGGCAGCAGUGGGGAAUAGUGGACAAUGGGCGAAAGCCUGAUCCAGCCGUGCCGCGUGUGUGAAGAAGGUCUUCGGAUUGGAAAGCACGUUAAGUUGGGAGGAAGGGCAGUAAGUUAAUACCUUGCUGUUUUGACGUUACCAACAGAAUAAGCACCGGCUAACUUCGUG